UAGCUCUACUGUGAGAUUGGACCACACAAGCUAGACACCAUUUGCAUCAGUGAGCCUGUCACUGGUUCACCUGUUGUACCACUUUUGGCUUGCCUUUUCCACUAAGCCAAAUGGGCUCAUCAUUUGGAAAACAUGUAAUCAAAAUCAUAAACAGAGUCUGGCUCACAACAGCUCCAGCAACAAAACAGACAUUACAUACACAGAAGUCACUUAUAAUUAACCAAGACAGGAUGAAAAGCAGCCGUGAUGCAAAAUAAAGUAAAUCAGUUCUGGUUAUCAUUGUGUUCAAUGACGUAUCAAAGCAUGUAACCACACUCACCUUCAGUACAGCGGCAAUCACAAAGAUAGACUGUCGGCUCAUCGGAACAUCCUGGAUUCCUGAGUCCAGUUUGUCUCUCAGCUCCCUGCAGGCUUUGGCCCCAGCAGAGCGCCGGAAAAUUCCCCUUGUGAAUGGCCCCUCUUGGAACAGAAAGACUAGCAUGUCCUGCAGAGAGAGAAAAUAAAAUCUGAUAUACAUUAUGGACUAUAUUAUUUACUGAAAAUUCCAGAUGUGGAAAGGAAUUCCCAUUACCUUGCCCUGAGAACUGUCAUUCCAACAACUGUAUAUCAAAUGCUCAUCAAUGGUCACAUUCAUGUAUUCUUAACAGUCCAUCAGUGUUAAAUCACUUAUUCAGUAGAGGUAUGAUGCUUGAUAAAGAAAGACUCAAGUAUGUACAUUAAAAUAGCUGUAAAUAUGUAUUUUAAAAAAGAACAGUGUAUGACGGAUGAAGUGAGUUACCUCUAUCUUUUAAUAAUCAUUUCACAAUCUGUAGCUAAAUGUAGUUUUCUUUGUUAUUGUUUGAUUGGUCAGAAGGUGUGCAUUAUUUUCACAUAUCAAAAUGACUCGGAAAGUAGCUCUGCCUCUAACCAUCAUGAACUGCAGGUUAAAAUGAAUGCUCAAGCAAUACAUUACUGCUAUACUUUAAUACAUUAUUCCUUCAAGGGGAACUGACUCACGCUGUAUUACAGUUCAAUAAAGUUCACUAGUUUUACUCAUCAUCAGAAAACAUUUUCUCCACAGUUAAAAUGCCUAGGGUUAGAGUUAGGGUUAGGAACCAGGUCUUCAUACACACAGACAUUAAUUUUUUAUUUAGAGCAGUGAAAUACUAUUAAAAGGUUCAUUUAUACAGUUUACACAUUGUUUUUUUUUUUUUAUUUGAGUGGAUUUUGAUAUUAAUUAAUAUACACAGCCACAGAUAUUAGAUGCAGCAAAAAUUUUCAUACUGCAUAAAACCAUAAAAGCUAACAUAUUGUAAGGUAAUAUAUUAAACCAGCAAAUCACAGAGGUAAUAUCAUGCAUUAUUAUAAACUAUAAUGUUUCAGAAUGUAUAAAAUUACACAAUAUUAUAAACUGGAAUUUUUCAAUAGGGCCUAUAUUUAUUUACCUAUAGUACAGUUCUCUUGAAAUAGUUAGCUUUUUCAUUUUUAAUAAAUGCCUAGUGCAUUAUAAAUGUAAAAAUUUGGCUUAUUUUCACAAAUUCAUUGCAUGCCUGGAGUUUAUGAUGUUUGUUCAUGACUUUUAUGUGUCUGAACAUUAUGAGAAUGAUUCCUACACUCACCAUGAUUGGUUUGGGAAGACUGUUAUCCUUGCAUACCAUGCAGAGGGGCAGGCCAAAGAGCUUAUCAGUUGUUGAUAAAUGGGGUGAUAAGGGAGGAUCAUCCAGGUGAUUUGACGAGCCACGCCAAAAAGCCCAGUUGAUGAGAGACCGCCGUCUUUUGAACGGCUUCUGGUCUGGAUCAAC
Hemibagrus wyckioides is the source of this 1781-nucleotide long non-coding RNA. RefSeq lists it as uncharacterized. NCBI's taxonomy places the organism in Eukaryota, Metazoa, Chordata, Actinopteri, Siluriformes, Bagridae. The record is from RefSeq and is a predicted model, not a curated record. The transcript has 2 exons.